RNAcentral lists this ribosomal RNA (973 nucleotides) under human gut metagenome. Its description in RNAcentral is "bacterial LSU rRNA". It matches the Rfam family "Bacterial large subunit ribosomal RNA", at positions 1953 to 2925 of the family's 2925-position model. The record is from RNAcentral.
AAGGUAGCGAAAUUCCUUGUCGGGUAAGUUCCGACCUGCACGAAUGGCGUAACGAUCUCCACACUGUCUCGGCCAGAGACUCGGUGAAAUUGAAGUCGCGGUGAAAAUGCCGUGUACCCGCAGAAAGACGGAAAGACCCUGUGCACCUUUACUAUAGCUUGACAUUGGGAUUUGAGCCUGCAUGUGUAGCAUAGGUGGGAGGCUGUGAACUCUGUACGCCAGUAUGGAGGGAGCCAUCGUUGAAAUACCACCCUUGUUUGUUCAGGUCCCUAACUCUUCGCCGUGAUCCGGUAAGAGGACAGUGUCUGGUGGGUAGUUUGACUGGGGCGGUCGCCUCCCAAAAUGUAACGGAGGCAUGCAAAGGUUCCCUCAGGCUGAUUGGAAACCAGCCGUCGAGUGCAAACGCAAAAGGGAGCUUGACUGCAAGAGAGACAUCUCGAGCAGGUACGAAAGUAGGUGUUAGUGAUCCGGUGAUCCCGAAUGGAAGGGUCAUCGCUCAUUGGAUAAAAGGUACGCCGGGGAUAACAGGCUGAUCGCAUCCAAGAGUUCACAUCGACGAUGCGGUUUGGCACCUCGAUGUCGGCUCAUCACAUCCUGGGGCUGAAGCAGGUCCCAAGGGUACGGCUGUUCGCCGUUUAAAGUGGUACGCGAGCUGGGUUUAAAACGUCGUGAGACAGUUUGGUCCCUAUCUUCUGUGGGCGUAGGAGAAUUGAAAGGGCCUGUCCCUAGUACGAGAGGACCGGGAUGGACACACCACUGGUGGACCUGUUGUCGUGCCAACGGCACAGCAGGGUAGCUAUGUGUGGAAGGGAUAACCGCUGAAAGCAUCUAAGCGGGAAGCCUGCCUUAAGAUAAGUUCUCCCUGACGCAAGUCCUGAAGGGCCGAGGUAGACGACCUCGUUGAUAGGCUGGAGGUGGAAGCCCUGUGAGGGGUGGAGCUGACCAGUACUAAUAGCCCGUGCGUCUUGUUUCU